AGGAUGUAAACAUGACUGAUGCCGUGAUAACAUAGCUGAAGUCGACGUACUAAGAUCUACUUUCCGUGGUGUCUUCACUGCAGUAGGUCAACUGCUAACGCUCCCCCAUCGAAUUCUCCUACAUUUCUCUCUCUGGUGAAGUACCGGAGUCGACGGAGAGCGCUCGAUUUAUCGCGUCUUCACUAGACGCAAUAAAUUGACCCCACUGGAUUGAUUGCUCCGGAGAUUGAAACAACUGACUGAGAGCUAUAAUCAGUUCAGUAGGCUAGAGACUGUUGACAGAUUGCUGAACCACCGAAGAUCACUCUCCUUCAUCCCAGUGGAAAAAAUGACACCAAUAAGGACAUUGGGGUUGAUACAGUGUUGCAGGUAGCUCGUCUCCAGAUGCCAGGAGUUGCCAAGGUAGAAAUUAAUCUCUCUCCUUUGUCAUUUGAUCAUAACCAACAUGUAAAACAUGAAUUAUUUAAAUUGUUUUCACAUAUGGAAUCAUUGAACAGAGUAUGAUAAGACAGCUCUUCCACCUUAUAAUUUCAUGACCUUUAUUUUACGCACUGAGCUGAGGAAUAGGUUUCUUUAAAUUUAAAAGAGACACUUUAAAGCUUAUAUCCAUUUUAUUUUAAACUUCUUUUACAUUAGAAUUCACCUCCAAAUCUCCCAACCCUCACUGCUAUCCAGAGGGCCCAUUUUCUUCCUUUUUAUUUCCCUGUCUGAUAUCUAGCACCGAAAGGAUUGAAAUGUGACUGUGAUUAUCAAACCAGAGAAGAGAAAUCCAAUUAUCCUGGAACUUUUAGACAACAAGUACAGGUAACAACGAUCUUGUGAUACAUUUGGCAAUUUUACAAAAUAAAAUGAAAGGGCUAUCUUAA
Long non-coding RNA from Chelonia mydas (Green sea turtle), 866 nucleotides. RefSeq lists it as uncharacterized. The record is from RefSeq and is a predicted model, not a curated record. NCBI's taxonomy places the organism in Eukaryota, Metazoa, Chordata, Testudines, Cheloniidae. The transcript has 2 exons.